UGCCGCCCGGGCGUGUCCUGUCGUGAGGGGAGCGGCUCCUCGGCCAGGGUGGCCGACCCUCCGGUGACAGCCCUUCCCUCCACGGGCAAGGUACAGCUGGGGAGCGGAGGAGGAGCACACCUGGGGCUGUGCCGUGCCCGGCGUCGGCAGGGAGAAGUCUCACAAAUUAAGUCUCACAGAUUGCGUGGACUUGGCAUCGCAAGAGGUCACAGGAUUACAGAUAGGGAAAGUAAUGUGGAGGUGUGUGUCCUGUGCUUGUGCUGCUGCCCGGGUGUGUGGUUCGGACCACACUGCAGACGAGAGUUGUAACAUUCCCGUCCGUUUUACUUUCCUCUGACGUGGCUUUAAUUUUUGGUUCUGUGUAGCGCAGUGAGACUCUCUCACCCCGUGCCGCGGUGCGGGCAGUGCUGAUGGCCCUGUUGAUGUCCCUGGCACAGACACGGGUGUUGGAGCUCCUCAGUUCAGUGUCGGACUCACACAGGGCGCUCUGAAGCAGCGGCUUCUUCCAGAGCAGCACAUCCAGCACCAUCAUCAGCUUCUGCCUUCAAGUAUUUCUCCGCCCACCGCUUUCCUAAAGGAAAAAAAGCGUAGCCAGUACCUUGCUUUUGCUAAGUUGGACUGAGCUUUUGUAGUGAAGACAAGGUCUUACAGCCAGGUUUCUAAUGGGCCUUUGGUGUGUAGAGAGUUCAUUUUCAGCCUGGAAGGAAGAAACAAAAGGCAGAAGAGUUGGAGGAUCCUCACAGCCCUUAAAGCAGCCUAGGUGACUAUAAUUCUAGAAGCUGAUUUAUCUGCACUGAUACUACAGGACUGGAAGAAAAAGAGAGCAUCUAACAAUUCAGCAAGUUACUCUGUCCCUUCUGAGGAGUGGAUUUGUGAAUUAGACACACACAGAGUCUGGCAAGGUCGUACCACAGGAUUCUGAAUUACAGUUGCUUUUGAAAGAGAGAAACACGUAUCUGAUCAGUCUGACCCUCCACCAAGCCCAACACACACUUCUACAAACACAGCCAUUUUGAGGCCAUUUUGGGAGACAAAAGAGCUGUUUGACUUCAAGACUAAGAUGAAGCUUUCAAGAGUGAUGCCCAUAUGUUGAUGAAAGUAGUAUAAAAAUAUUACCUGUUCAAACGGGGGGGGGGGAAGAGAUAGAAGUUACCUUUUAUUCACUGUUUCAUGCAAAACAGAGCCGCUGAUCCCGUUGCUUUCUCCUUGAUAGCGCCCGCUAUGCUCAACGGCAUGACCUGGGAUGUGGAGAGAAAGUCAAAGGAAAGCCUACACUUGCCUCCUGAUGAGGGACCCUUUGGCUGCAGCAUAAUCCACUGACUUGGCACCCUGGGCUGUGUGGUUAAACUGGAUGGACACAAAGCUACACUCUUUCAAAACAGUCAGGAUGCAGCAUGGUAAGUACCCAAGUCCUGAGGGCUCUGCUCUAGUGAUCCCUAAGCUGAGGAAGGGGGAUAGAAAAUCACCACCAUUCCAGAAAUGGCUUCUGAAUUUUCCUACUCUGUUCCUUCUCCUGCUGCCCGCUUCUUCUCCCUGGGAAACACAACAAAUGUGGAAGGUUUGUAGGUAAGCAGAGAGGAGCUGGUCACAGCAAAGGACAGAGCCAGAGCUGAAGAUACCACUCACUGAUAAACCCAGCCAAACCCUUUCCCUUCUGAAACAGAAUCCCUGUAAUGGAAAUAAUUACCAAAGAAACAGACAAAAACUACUCCUGAAUGAAAUUUAAGCUUCAGCAGAGCACAGCACAGCCAGGAAAUACCAAGUACAAGCAACCGUCCCUUCAUCCUGAAUUCACACCAAUUUCUGCUUCUGUUUCCUGUGCAAAAUUAUCAGUCACUCAAAAGCUGCUGCCCAGGGGGGCUGUGGAUGCAGGGUGGCUUGGGACAGCCUUCACCUGACUUUGCAUAAACACCUGACAACUACCUCAUUUUGAGGUGGCUCUCUGGAAAUGCGUGGCAAAAUGCACAGUAUUGGAGGCAAUUCUGUGGGAUGCUUCUGGCAAUACCCAGAAUGAUGUGCAUUCCUUGGGGAGCAAAAACUAUGCGAUUCUGGGGUGGUGGAGGUGGAUGUGUCUCUUGCAAUACCCCAAAAGAUAAAUAUUAUUAGAGGAGGAAAAAAAAUCAGUCUGAUUUUGAUGAGAAUCUCUGGCAAUUCCCAGCA
Molecule: long non-coding RNA, 2160 nt
Organism: Neopelma chrysocephalum (saffron-crested tyrant-manakin)
Lineage: Eukaryota; Metazoa; Chordata; Aves; Passeriformes; Pipridae
Exons: 6
Source: RefSeq, a predicted model, not a curated record